RNAcentral lists this small RNA (100 nucleotides) under Clostridium tyrobutyricum DIVETGP. Its description in RNAcentral is "Clostridioides difficile sRNA included into helicase gene". It matches the Rfam family "Clostridioides difficile sRNA included into helicase gene". From Rfam's summary of the family: This element was identified by RNA deep sequencing of Clostridioides difficile 630 where it is located within gene CD0749 (putative DNA helicase, UvrD/REP type) in the same direction as the gene. The record is from Rfam by way of RNAcentral. Lineage: Bacteria; Bacillati; Bacillota; Clostridia; Eubacteriales; Clostridiaceae.
AUGUAAAUAGUAUUCCAAAAUCAUUGGAAGAGGAAAGACGACUUUUCUAUGUUGCAAUUACAAGGGCUAUAGAUAAUCUAUAUAUAUAUUCAGUUGAAAA